This 663-nucleotide ribosomal RNA is filed under the name uncultured bacterium. RNAcentral's name for it is "bacterial SSU rRNA". The stretch from base 1 to 546 matches the Rfam family "Bacterial small subunit ribosomal RNA", at positions 338 to 873 of the family's 1533-position model. The record is from RNAcentral.
CCUACGGGAGGCAGCAGUAAGGAAUAUUGGACAAUGGUGGCAACACUGAUCCAGCCAUGCCGCGUGCAGGAUGACGGUUCUAUGAAUUGUAAACUGCUUUUAUACGGGAAAAACCCUCAAGACGUGAUUUUGAGCUGAUUGUACCGUAAGAAUAAGGAUCGGCUAACUUCGUGCCAGCAGCCGCGGUAAGACGAAGGAUCCAAGCGUUAUCCGGAUUUAUUGGGUUUAAAGGGUGCGUAGGCGGACUCAUAAGUCAGUGGUGAAAUCCCAAAGCUUAACUUUGGAACUGCCAUUGAUACUGUAAGUCUUGAGUAUGUUUGAAGUGGGCGGAAUGUAUUGUGUAGCGGUGAAAUGCUUAGAUAUAAUACAGAACACCAAUUGCGAAGGCAGCUCACUAAACCAUAACUGACGCUGAGGCACGAAAGCAUGGGGAGCAAACAGGAUUAGAUACCCUGGUAGUCCAUGCCCUAAACGAUGAAUACUCGAUAUGUGNGAUAUACAGUACGUGUCGUAAGACGAAAGACGAUUAAGUUAAGUUAACCUACCGUCGGGGUUAGGGUUACGGUCGUUCGCGAAGAAGUUAGAAACGUUAAAAGGUUAAAAGUUAGUUACGGCGUUGAGGACGUUAGCCGACGGACGACCGACGAGGGGAAGGUUAAGGAG